ACGUUCCUCUUGGGAAGACAGGUGUGAUAUCAGGGGACAGGUGAGUGAUAAAUUCAGCUCUCAGGCUGGGAGCCAAAUCAUGUUUGAAACAGUUUCUGUCCACCUUACAAGCUUUGGUGUGGAUGGGGCAUGAGUGAAAGUAAGGGCAACAGCAAAAUCUAGCAUCACAGCCAGGAAAACCGUGAAUAACAGGAAAGAGACUUGAAAGUGAAGUGUGUUUGUGUUCUAAGAGAAUUGCAGAAACCUUAACAGGCCAACACAGCUGAGAGGACUUAACCGGCUCUAACUAAAAGUGGGCAGGUGAUUGGGUGUUUGAUACAUUCCUUUGGGAAUUUCUGGAGAGUCGGGAACUUAGAAGAGUUUGGUGUUUGAAAAUGUUUCUUUACCCGGAGGUGGGGUCCAGGGAUGGCCGUUAGGAAGCGUGACUUCAAGGUUUACUACCGGCUGCCGGGCUCCUCCUUUCUUCAGUCCAGUAGUGGGCAAAGGGUACAAAAAAAGGAUGUUUGGGCAGAGAAAUGAGAAUUGAAAACAAAGGAGACCACCAGGUAACUCCUGCUUUCAAGACUCAGCUCACCUGACAUCUCCCCACGCCCUGUGUCUGCCCCGCCGGACAGUGUUGUACUUAUUGAUUUGUCCCCUGAGGGCAGAGGCUCUGACUCCCAGGUACUCCCAGAUCCCAUCACAGGCCUGAUCCCAGUAAAUACUUGGUUAGGUGUUUGUGGAAUGAGAAAGAUGGACAGAAAAAGGAAAAGGCGGACGAAGGAAGAGGAAACCGAGGAGGAGGAAAGAAAAAGAAGGGAUUGAGCGAAGCUUUGGGAAGCCAGCUUUUCACAGUUCCAAGAACAGUUUCCAAAAUCCUUCUAACUCAGGUCCUAUUAAGCAGUCCGGCUUUCCAGCUUCCUUGAUUGCACAUGUGUAGCAAAACUCAAUGACAUCUGAGUCUGACUAAAAUGUAACCCUUUCCCGGGCAUCGGCUGUGGCCACUGGAGCUUAAAUACAGAAGACAUAGCUGUCUAGUCUCUAGCUUGGCAUUGAUUCCUUUCGUGUUUGAAGCCAGCUGAAAGACGAAGCAGGCAGGGCACAUGUCAGAACAGACGUUGUCCCCCCUCGCUCAGAACCAAGAGGCUGAUUCCUCAGCUGGCCACCUCCGAGGAGAGGAACGGAAGCCACAGGGCGGGGGGCUGGCUGACGCUGCAUUCCUCAAACCUACAGCCAGGGGAUUGUGUUAUUUCAGCCAUGCUUCGUUAGAUGGCAAAUAUGUGAGCGGCUUUAUGAGGAUCUGGGACAUUGUCGAGUCUUCGAGUUCACAGCUGAGCUGCUCCCACCCGAAUUAACCACUCCCGCCAGGCGCUGUUUGGGGUGCAGGCCGUGGGGGCACUCUGAUCCCUCAGCACCGCUAGGUUCCGAGGGUUGUCGAGACAAGAAAAAUCUCACUAAAGGCUACGCUUCUAAAAACCCUGGGCCAACUCUUACCCCAAACUUCUGGCUGCAAUGACAGUUAUACAACAGUUGCGCCAGGAGUGGCCUUGCCCCUCUGCCACCGCCAGCGGAGAGAGGGCGUCUCAGGUCUCACUCUCAUGGAGGACCAAAAACCGAAGUUUUGAAUGUCACUUUGCCAGUGGGAACACAAAAUGCGACUUCGGUCCAAAUAGUAACCUUUGGGCUAGCGUUUCUGCUCUUAUAAAUCUCAAACGUUGCUUGCUGUCUGCUUCGUGUCCCAGAUUCCUGCAUAAGUCUGUGGACUGCAUCAAAACACUUUUGAACAUAGAGACCGGGUGUGGUGACUUUGUAGGUUGUCUACUCAGCUGCAUUGAACUAAGUUUCCCAGAAUUCCCUUCCCUCCGUGGUUCCGGAUGACAUUUGGGAGGCCACUGUGAGGCAGCUGCUACUUUUAUGCUCUGAAGGUCUUGUGUAGGCACCAGGCACCCUGGCAGCUCUCAUCUCCUGUUAAGCAGCUGCUGGCCUACCUCUUGGCGUGGGGCUACAGCUCCUCCAGAACCUGGAACAGGUAUAUGGGCAACUCUGACAAAGGGCCCCAGCUGCUUCUGCAGGUCACUCACAUCCUGAAGGCUGGAGACGGCGAGACAUACAGUUCCUAAGGAAGGUUUCUUUGGGGCCUCAGAGUCAUGCUGGGCUCAAGGUCAACUUUGGUGGUGUUUACAUUUAUAAUGCAGUGAAGGCACUGAUGGGAAACUCACUGAGAAACAUUGACAAUGCAAGACUGGUGACACAGAAGGAAACUGAGGCAGCGAUCAGCAAAAGUCGAACGUGGGACCUCGACUCAGAGCCAAGUUUCCAAAGCUUGGGCAUAAUCUCUCUUCUUCUCAGUUGAAAGUGACUUUUUAGGAGGGUGUGACUGGAGGCCUGAACAGAUGUGUCUGCUGUGCCAGGGGAUGGUUUCCCCUGAAGACCCUCUCUGCUAACACACGAGCCUUCCUCCAGCAGUGGGCCCCAGCCCUGGCGCAUUGACAGACUCCAGGAGGGAGACGCACCGGGAUGGAUGCGGAGAGCUGACUCCGUCGUUGUUCACGCUGAGAUCAUACUUGGGGGUCCCAACCAAGAACCCCAAAUCUUUGAGCAAGCCCCUACUAUGAAGAUAAACCCUGAGGGAGAUGCACAUAGAUAUACAUGCAGGGGAAUAAAUUAUACUCCUAAUUGGGUCUUUGGCCGCAAGCCCCCGAAUCGUCUUCUAGGAGGAGCCAGGUUUUUUACAGGCUAUAGAAAGGUCUAGAGCCUUAGUGAAAACCUGGCUGAGGGUGGCCUGCACCUUCGUCUGAGCCCUCUAGACUUUAUGAUUCUUGAGGAGAGGAAAGAUAAAUCAAAGAAACAAAGGAGGGAGGCCGUUUGCCCCAUUCAAGCUCCCUCUGACAACUUUGUCCUGCUGCAUCUUUGCUCAGUCCACAGUCCAGGCAUCUCCUUCUCACGAUGGGGAGGUGGGCAGGGGUCCCAAGGCUCUCCUGGGGUCCAAGGAUGGUGACAUGGAAAAACUGUGAAAACCUACAACAUGUACAUAAACUCCCUGCCAGGGCCGGUUACAUAAUUUGUGGGGCCCCGUACAAAAUGAAAAUAUGGAGUCUGCUGUUCAAAUGCAGGGGGAAGAAUAUCUUUAAAAGUACUAAAAUAUAAAGCUUUUUCACUUCAUCCAUGGGCUCUCUCUAUUUGCCAUGGUGGUUUUUAUUUGCUAUAUAAUGUUCUAAGUAAAGAAAAAUUAACAUUUUAAAUUAUUAGCAUGAAUUUUACCAUUCAUCUCUAUAUCACACAAUACUUGUUUUAAAUGCAAACAUAAGAGCAUUUAACUCAUAUGUAGAGUCACUGAAAUUAUGUAGUUCAUAUUUCAUAGCUUGUACAUGCCUGUGUAUUUCAUCCUUACCACACCCGAGGAGACACUGCACAGAACUUGUGCAAUUGUUUUUAUUUCGCAUCUUGCUGUGCACACGUUCUACCGAUACUCUCUGCCUUCAGCUUACUGAGGAAUAGGAAGGACUGAAAGGAAAAGGAGCUAUGAUUUGACCUCUUUCCCUGUCCUUCUACGUCUUCCUCUCUCCUUCUUCCUUCCUUCUGUAAGGACACUGUCUGGACCUUGGCUGCCCUCCUGGCUCUUCGGGUGGCUGUCCUGGGAGAAGGCUGAUGUCUGCAGGCUCCAGACACUGCCCGUGCUGCAGGCCUUACAGAUGCCCAGGAACCUCAGCCCUGAGCCAUGUCUCUGUGGAAUGUUCCCCCUUCCCAAUUCUGUCUCCUGUUUUGUCAUUAAAAUAGUGGUAAAGUAGUUAGCGUGAUGGAGCAUUUAUUACACUAGACACGUACAUAACCG
Molecule: long non-coding RNA, 3811 nt
Organism: Equus caballus (horse)
Lineage: Eukaryota; Metazoa; Chordata; Mammalia; Perissodactyla; Equidae
Source: Ensembl